UACGUAGGGGGCAAGCGUUGUCCGGAAUCAUUGGGCGUAAAGAGCGUGUAGGCGGCCCGAUAAGUCCGCCGUGAAAGUCCAGGGCUCAACCCUGGAAUGCCGGUGGAAACUGUCGGGCUGGAGUCCGGAAGAGGCGAGUGGAAUUCCUGGUGUAGCGGUGAAAUGCGCAGAUAUCAGGAGGAACAUCCGUGGCGAAGGCGGCUCUCUGGGACGGUACUGACGCUGAGACGCGAAAGCGUGGGGAGCGAACAGG
RNAcentral lists this ribosomal RNA (253 nucleotides) under uncultured bacterium. RNAcentral's name for it is "partial 16S ribosomal RNA". It matches the Rfam family "Bacterial small subunit ribosomal RNA", at positions 524 to 776 of the family's 1533-position model. The record is from RNAcentral.